AAAGUAGAAGUUUUUAAAAUAUUUGACCUGCAAUCAAAAGUAGAUAGAUCACCUAUCCUACUUUA
This 65-nucleotide transfer RNA is filed under the name Striatobalanus tenuis. Its description in RNAcentral is "tRNA-Ala". The record is from RNAcentral. Lineage: Eukaryota; Metazoa; Arthropoda; Thecostraca; Balanomorpha; Balanidae.